RNAcentral lists this ribosomal RNA (430 nucleotides) under Bacillota bacterium. RNAcentral's name for it is "Firmicutes bacterium partial 16S ribosomal RNA". It matches the Rfam family "Bacterial small subunit ribosomal RNA", at positions 355 to 776 of the family's 1533-position model. The record is from RNAcentral. Lineage: Bacteria; Bacillati; Bacillota.
UGGGGAAUAUUGGACAAUGGGCGGAAGCCUGAUCCAGCCAUGCCGCGUGUGUGAAGAAGGCCUUUUGGUUGUAAAGCACUUUAAGCGAGGAGGACGCUACUUGGAUUAAUACUCUAGGAUAGUGGACGUUACUCGCAGAAUAAGCACCGGCUAACUCUGUGCCAGCAGCCGCGGUAAUACAGAGGGUGCGAGCGUUAAUCGGAUUUACUGGGCGUAAAGCGUGCGUAGGCGGCUUCUUAAGUCGGAUGUGAAAUCCCUGAGCUUAACUUAGGAAUUGCAUUCGAUACUGGGAAGCUAGAGUAUGGGAGAGGAUGGUAGAAUUCCAGGUGUAGCGGUGAAAUGCGUAGAGAUCUGGAGGAAUACCGAUGGCGAAGGCAGCCAUCUGGCCUAAUACUGACGCUGAGGUACGAAAGCAUGGGGAGCAAACAGG